RNAcentral lists this transfer RNA (70 nucleotides) under Ulva prolifera. RNAcentral describes it as "tRNA-Tyr". The record is from RNAcentral. Lineage: Eukaryota; Viridiplantae; Chlorophyta; Ulvophyceae; Ulvales; Ulvaceae.
UUUUGUCAAGUCAAAGGCUGGGCGCCAAGCUGUAACACUUGGAGGUAGUAGGUUCAAAUCCUAUCAAAAG